GGGCCCGCACAAGCGGUGGAGUAUGUGGUUUAAUUCGAUGCAACGCGAAGAACCUUACCAGGGCUUAAAUGUAAGUUGCAUAGAUCAGAGAUGGUCUUUUCUUCGGACUACUUACAAGGUGCUGCAUGGUUGUCGUCAGCUCGUGCCGUGAGGUGUCAGGUUAAGUCCUAUAACGAGCGCAACCCCUGUCGUUAGUUACCAGCAAGUAAUGUUGGGUACUCUAGCGAGACUGCCGGUGCAAACCGUGAGGAAGGUGGGGAUGACGUCAAAUCAUCACGGCCCUUACGUCCUGGGCUACACACGUGCUACAAUGGCCGGUACAGAGAGCAGCCACUACGCGAGUAGGAGCGAAUCUUCAAAGCCGGUCUCAGUUCGGAUCGCAGUCUGCAACUCGACUGCGUGAAGCUGGAAUCGCUAGUAAUCGGAUAU
RNAcentral lists this ribosomal RNA (429 nucleotides) under uncultured bacterium. RNAcentral's name for it is "bacterial SSU rRNA". It matches the Rfam family "Bacterial small subunit ribosomal RNA", at positions 917 to 1349 of the family's 1533-position model. The record is from RNAcentral.